ACCAUCUCCUCCCUGAUAAAGCAGCCGUUCUGGUGGUGAUGCAUCACACCUUCAAUCCUGAACAAGUGAUUCCUCCGAGCCGCAGACUGGUGACAGACCGGAGAGUCCGACUGACUCUGGACUGUCUGUUCUACCAGAACAAUCUGCUCAGCUGUGAACUCAACAGGAACAUGAAGGCCAGCAUCAAGACGUUCUUCAAAACCUCAAAGAGGUGCUCUUCCUGUCCAAUCCUGGUCCAGUGAUGUUUCAGUUCCUACAACCAUUGAAGGAGAACCUGGAUCCAAGUAUCAUCAGGACACUUUCAGCAAGAAGACAUCUCCACCAGCUGCUCCAAGUGGGUCAGAGCUCAUUUUACUGCAGAGGAUCGAGAAGCUGCAUGAAGAAAUGGAAGCUCUGAAAAGUCAAACUGCAAAAGAAAUGAGAGUCCUGAAAAAACAAAAUGUAGAAAAAAUAGAAGCCCUGAAAAAACAAAAGACCGAAGAAAUGGAAGCCCUGAAAAAACAUAAAGCUGAAGAAAUAGAAGCCAAGAACAAACAAAAUGUUGAAGAAGUGGGAGCCCUGAAAAAACAAAACACGAAAGAAAUUGAAGCCCUGAAAAAACUAAUUACUGAAGAACAAGGAGCCCUGAAAAAACAAAGCGCUGAAGAAGUGGGAGCCGUGAAAAAACAAAUUGCUGAAUUAGGAGAUGAAAUUGCUAACAAAGACAAGACAACACAGGAAUUACAGACGGACUUGGAAAAGGUGAAGAAGGUCAUGGGUUUUCCUCUCAAACCUCAGUCCAAUGUUGGUCCAGUUCUUACAAAUAGUGGAGGACGACCUGGAUCCAUGGAUCAUCAGAACACUCCCCUCCGGCCUGAAGAUGGAGCCAAGAACUGCAGCUGUGAGGAGAUGAUCGUCCUGUGAGACCAAAGCAUCUGGAUCAUGUGGAUGUGAAGGGAUCAAACUGAAGGCUGGACCUGCUGGAGGGACUGAGUGAUGGAGCUGAGGCUGAUGUUGAUCUUUGGGUCUUAAAUCUGAUCUUUGUUAGUCAAACUCUUGAAGUCAUGCUUGAAAAUUUAAUGCAGUUUGUUUCCAAUUGUGUUUCUUCACUGCAGCGGCUGCUGGCAUCAAUCUACCUACGAAUGGUCAAAGGUUUUGUUUUCAAU
This is a long non-coding RNA of Salarias fasciatus (jewelled blenny), 1145 nucleotides long. RefSeq lists it as uncharacterized. The record is from RefSeq and is a predicted model, not a curated record. The transcript is spliced from 6 exons. Lineage: Eukaryota; Metazoa; Chordata; Actinopteri; Blenniiformes; Blenniidae.